RNAcentral lists this small RNA (511 nucleotides) under Pongo abelii (Sumatran orangutan). RNAcentral's name for it is "processed transcript". Lineage: Eukaryota; Metazoa; Chordata; Mammalia; Primates; Hominidae. The record is from RNAcentral.
AGUUCCGUUCCUGCUCCGCUUGAGGAGAAGCGCGAAGCGCGCGUGGGGACGCUACAGCAAUUACUUUGCUGUCCUUCCUCUCCUUCGAAGAUGACAAGGCCUACCAUCCUUUCUUCCUGCCUUUGGGCCAUCAGGCAGUUGGUUGGGACACGCUCCAACCCCCGGUUCUCCCUGCAAUACAGUGGAUACAAUUUGUCAUGGCUACUCUGAGAUAAGACCACUUUUUUAUCUGAGCUUCUGUGACCUGCUCCUGGGACUUUGCUGGCUCACGGAGACACUUCUCUAUGGAGCUUCAGUAGCAAACAAGGACAUCAUCUGCUAUAACCUACAAGCAGUUGGACAGGAGAGACAGGGUUUUGCCAUGUUUGCCAGGCUGGUCCUGAACUCCUGACCUCAAGUGAUUCACCGCUUGGGCCACCCAAAGUGCUGGGAUUACAGGUGUAAGCCACUGUGCCUGGCCUCCUUAAAUGUAUCUUAAUGGCCUAAUUUUCACCUUUGCACCCAGUUAGUA